This 67-nucleotide transfer RNA is filed under the name Scolytinae sp. BMNH 1039994. RNAcentral's name for it is "tRNA-Trp". It matches the Rfam family "tRNA". Rfam says of the family: Transfer RNA (tRNA) molecules are approximately 80 nucleotides in length. Lineage: Eukaryota; Metazoa; Arthropoda; Insecta; Coleoptera; Curculionidae. The record is from RNAcentral.
AAGAAUUUAAGUUAAACUAAACUGUUAGCCUUCAAAGCCAAAAAUAGAAACAAAUUUCUAAUUCUUA